This 260-nucleotide ribosomal RNA is filed under the name uncultured bacterium. RNAcentral describes it as "partial 16S ribosomal RNA". It matches the Rfam family "Bacterial small subunit ribosomal RNA", at positions 114 to 353 of the family's 1533-position model. The record is from RNAcentral.
CACGUAAACAACCUGCCUUCAGGAUGGGGACGAACAGACGGAAACGACUGCUAAUACCGAAUAAGUUCCAAGAGCCGCAUGGCCCAUGGAAGAAAAGGUGGCCUCUACCUGUAAGCUAUCGCCUGAAGAGGGGUUUGCGUCUGAUUAGCUGGUUGGAGGGGGUAACGGCCCACCAAGGCGACGAUCAGUAGCCGGUCUGAGAGGAUGAACGGCCACACUGGAACUGAGACACGGUCCAGACUCCUACGGGAGGCAGCAUG